AUGACUACAGGGAAUCGCCAAAAGGCUAAACGGAGGGCUGCACAAACACAGCAAGGACCAAGUACAGAGAGCACAAUAAUCUCAAAUAAACAGCUCAAGGGGAGGUCACAGGGGCUUACAUGUCUUUACACUAAUGCUCAGAGCAUGGGAAAUAAGCAAGACGAACUCCAACUCUUAGCACAGCAGCACACAUACUAUGUCAUAGGCAUCACUGAAACCUGGUGGGAUGACUCCCAUCACUGGAAUUUAACCAUUGAGGGCUAUAACCUCUUUCACAGAAAUAGAACAAAGGGGAGAGGAGGGGGAGUAGCUUUAUAUGUCAAAAACAGUUACGUUGCAGAAGAAAUGCAAGACUGUAAUCUGGGAAACCAGCUUGAAAGCAUCUGGAUAAGAAUCAAGGGAACCGGGACUCAAAAAGACCUUGUCGUGGGUGUCUACUACAGACCUCCGAGUCAGGAUGAAGGACUUGAUGAAGCUUUCUGUCAACAGCUGACCAAACAGGCACAAAGAAGAGAUAUAGUAGUCAUGGGCGAUUUCAAUUAUCCCGAUAUCUGCUGGAAAACAAACUCAGCCAAGAGUACAAAGUCCAACAAAUUCCUCACUUGCCUUGCAGACAAUUUUAUGGUCCAGAAGGUAGAAGAGGCAACAAGGGGAUCAACAACUCUUGAUCUAAUCUUAACAAAUGUGGAAGACCUGAUCAAUACAGUUGAAGUGGUUGGAUCCUUAGAGGCAAGUGACCAUGUGCUCCUGCAGUUUGCAAUACAAAGGAAUGCUGAAACUAAGACAAGUCAAACACGCAUUCUGGACUUUAAGAGAGCUGACUUCCAAAAAAUGAAGGAAUUACUGAGCGGCAUUCCAUGGACGCCAAUAUUAAAAAACAAGGGAGUUAAGGAUGGAUGGGAGUUUUUCAAAAGUGAAAUACUUAAGGCGCAAAUGCAAACAGUGCCAACAAAGAAGAAAAAUAAGACAAAUGCAAAGAAGCCAGAAUGGAUGUCCAAAGAACUUCUAACUGAGCUAAAGCUCAAAAGUGACAUGCACAAGAAGUGGAAAAGGGGAGAAAUCACCAAAGAAGAAUUCAAACGUAUAGCCAACACCUGUAGGGAAAAGGUUCGCAAGGCUAAAGCGCAAAAUGAGCUCAGGCUUGCCAGGGACAUAAAAAACAACAAAAAAGGCUUUUUUGCUUACGUUGGUAGAAAAAGGAAGAAAAAGGAGGCGAUAGGGCCACUGCAAGAAGAAGAUGGGGUGAUGGUGACAGGGGAUAGGGAAAAGGCAGAACUGCUUAAUGCCUUCUUUGCCUCAGUCUUCUCACAAAAAGAAAGCCAUCUUCAACCUCAGCAACAUGGAAUGGACGAAGGAUUGGGGGAAAUCCAACCCCAAAUAGGGAAACAAGUUGUCCAGGAACACCUGGCCACUCUAAACGAAUUCAAGUCGCCAGGGCCAGAUCAGCUACAUCCAAGAGUAUUGAAGGAACUAGCGGAAGUUAUUUCAGAACCACUGGCAAUCAUCUUCGAGAGUUCUUGGAGAACAGGAAAAGUCCCAGCAGAUUGGAGGAGGGCGAAUGUGGUCCCUAUCUUCAAGAAGGGAAAAAAGAACGACCCAAACAAUUACCUCAUACCUCAUACCUCAGCCUCAUAUCAAUACCAGGCAAGAUUCUGGAAAAGAUCAUUAAGGAAGUGGUCUGCAAACACUUAG
RNAcentral lists this long non-coding RNA (1692 nucleotides) under Anolis carolinensis (green anole). RNAcentral's name for it is "lncRNA (ENSACAG00000039222.1)". The record is from RNAcentral. Lineage: Eukaryota; Metazoa; Chordata; Lepidosauria; Squamata; Anolidae.